GAAUGAGACUUUCGCUACUCCCUUAUACCAUGUUGGUAAGUUUUCAAACCACUGCUGUUGUCGUAAGAGAAAUUAUUUUGGUGAUGUAGCAGGAAAAGACUUGGGAAGGAUUAGUAAAAUUAUAUUACGCUCAUUGCACUAGAAAAAUAUAAAAUCGAAGUUUGUACGUGUCCACAAUAACAACAAUAAACAUUGGAAAUUCUAACAUCAAAAUUUUGUUUAAACAAAUUCAGCGGUAGGUCAGACACGUCGCUCCGAAAUCAUCCCGUCACCUUAUAUGCUGAGCUUGGUAUUGUUUUGCACAAUUGCUGUGCAUUGGUGUUAAUUGAAUUGAAUUGUACCUGACUGCAUGUCCAUACAAACAUAUACAAUUCGUAUACAUAACUCUUAACGUCAAGCUAUUUGUAUGUGUAUGUAGCUACAACAAUCAUUAUCAACUUUAAACAAUUGAUUUGAAGUAAAAAAGACAACGCAAAAGACGUGUAGGACGCAACAUUGAGGUGUACAUUCGACGACGUGUGGAAGGAAAGCAAUUGUUUUUGUUAGUGUCAGGAUACUUGUUAACUACACUUUUACUUGUAACAACUGUUAGUUGGCUAUUGUUGUGGUUAAGCGAGAGCAACAGUAUGUCGAUUGCGCCAGUGAUAAUUGAGGCAACCGCCAAACAUACGUCAACCCUCAUCUUCAUGCACGGCUUAGGUGAUACUGGCCAUGGAUGGAGUUCAGCGUUGGCGACGAUACGUCCGCCCAGCAUGAAAGUAAUCUGUCCAACAGCACCCACAAUGCCGGUGUCAUUGAAUGCCGGCUUUCGUAUGCCAUCUUGGUUUGAUUUACGUACGCUCGAUAUAUCUGGCCCCGAAGAUGAGGAGGGCAUCAAAAGUGCUGCUCAAAAUAUCAAAAGUAUGAUUGAUGAUGAGGUCACCAAAGGUAUAGCAUCGAAUCGUAUUGUGCUCGGUGGUUUCUCACAGGGUGGCGCAUUAGCAUUGUACACAGCGCUAACAUACAAUCAACCGCUGGCUGGUGUUGUAGCGUUAUCCUGUUGGUUGCCAUUGCACAAGCAAUUUCCAGGCAUAAAAACCAACUCAGAUGAAAUACCAGUAUUUCAGGCACAUGGUGACUUCGAUCCUGUUGUACCAUACAAGUUUGGCCAAUUAAGCGCUAGUUUAUUAAAGACUUUUAUGAAAAAAGUUACAUUUAAAACAUACAAUGGGCUAUCACAUUCCUCAUCGGAUGACGAAAUGGAUGAUGUGCGGGAUGUACUGUCCUCUUGGGUAAAUUAAAUUGAAAAACAAUAAAAAUACAAUACACUAGUAAACAAAAUGAACAUAUAAUUAGUGUGCAUAGUUAAGCGCAGUGGUGACAGUAGGAAAAGUAAUACUUCAACGCUGGAUGUUAGCGGAAAUGCCACAGCUCAAUGCUGUCUAAUAUCAUAGUAGCAAAUAUGUGAUUUUCUCUGAUGAUUUAUGUUAUGAUGAUGUUGAUGAUAAUGAUGUGUAUGAGGCACAAACAAAAACACCUUUUUAUUAUUGCAACAAAAAUGCAACUCAUAACUUAUGAACAUGAAACUAGUAACUAAACAAGUGAAAACUUGAAUUUAAAGUAUACUACAACAAAGCAGCAACUCAAACAACUCAAAAAUACAUUUUUCGCAAGUAGUUUAUUCCAAACAAUGAAUGAAUUAAUAACUUUCAAAACAAAUGCGGCGUGUAUUUUUAUGGCACGCAUUGUAUAAAACUUAAAAAAAUAUUUACUAAUUUUUGCACGUUUUUACAUUUGGCGCAAUACAUUUUAUUUAAUUACUUUUUAGGGAUAGUCAAGUGUAGACGGUAAUUUCUGCUGUUACUAGUUGUUAAACUGAAACUUAUACCUUUAACGUAUAACGUAGCGUGACUGAACUAUAUUAUUACAAUAUAUAUUAUAUAAUUACUAUUAGAAGUAGCUAAUUGUGAAGCGAAAAAGAGGUUACAAAAAAAAAAAAAAAAC
RNA transcript from Bactrocera oleae (olive fruit fly), 1983 nucleotides. It is a transcript of the gene named Acyl-protein thioesterase 1, with no coding region annotated. NCBI's taxonomy places the organism in Eukaryota, Metazoa, Arthropoda, Insecta, Diptera, Tephritidae. The record is from RefSeq and is a predicted model, not a curated record.